AGCCAUGUUAGUGGGGUCGGGCACACUUGGCUCGUGCUCUUGGCCAGGCAGUUUUGGUCUCGGUGGGUCAUUUGGAAUUCCAGGUCGGCAGAACAGGUGCAAGCUGAAUAAACAAUUAAUUAAAUCAUUCAUUGAUUUGUUCAUGGACAAUAAUUUGUUUUGUGUCAGGCAUUGGAGCAGAUGGUAAAGACACAGGGAUGGAAAAUCUUGUCCUUGCCUUCAAGGUAGUUACACUUGAUAGAAGAAACAGAUGAAGCAAUUAAAAUGGGGCUCCCAACAGAUUGAACGACACCCACAUUGGAAAGGAUGAUUUGCUUUACCAAUUCACCAAUUUAAAUGCUUAUUUCUUCUGGAAAGACCUUCAAAGACAUACACAGAAACAAGGUUUUACUAGCUAUUUGGGCAUCACAUGGCCCAGCUAAGUUAGCACAUAAGAUUAACCAACAUAACCUCUAAAUUCAAUGACUGGGGCCAUGUGAAAGGCAAGAGAUACAUGGCAGAAGACAGCCAAGUGAAGUAGGAAGCAGAAAUUGGAGUGAUGCUGCUACAAACUAAGGACUGCCAAGGACCUCCACAACCACCAGCAGCAAGGGAGUCAAGGAAGGAUUUGUCCCUAGAGUUUACAGAGGGAUCUCUUGCCAAUACCAAUACUUCGAUUUUGGAUCUCUGACUUCUAGAACUGUGAGAACUCUUUAACUAAAAACUACACACUGCAGUCCAGGACUCUUUCCCAAGUUCCACAUUCAUCUCAUGCUGACAAGAUAUCUUUACUGAGGUGUUCUACAAAUUUUGACCUUCGUCAUGCUCAAAACUGACCUUGAUAUUUCUUUCACCAAACCUGCUCACUGCAUAUUUCCUUCUCUAUUUGCCAGCCUGACCUAGCAAAGAUGGGAAUGUCCUGAUAGAUGCUCUCCCCUCUCUCUUUUCAUAUCACAAUGAAGUAAUCACUCAUGAUGGUAGAUUUUACCCCCUCUUUGAGUCUCACACUUGAUUCAUUAGAAUAUUAGUUCCAAGUUGUGAGGGUGAUAUGCUUGCAACAUCUGUCACCCCAUUGAUAUCUGGCUGGCAAGGUGGGUGUCCCCUUCCUCCCUCUAUGCUCUGUGUAUCUCCCACUAGAACUUUUGCACCUGGUUUUAAGAAGACCACCUUUCCUAAAUACAGACAGACUUUUCUGUGGUCAAGUUUACGAGUAGCCGUGUUCCCCUGUGAGCAGUUCCAAACAAGCUCUCAAGGUCUAUUUUUUAAAAAAGAUUUGUUUAUUUUAUUUAUUUAUUUUUUUAUAUA
Molecule: long non-coding RNA, 1284 nt
Organism: Talpa occidentalis (Iberian mole)
Lineage: Eukaryota; Metazoa; Chordata; Mammalia; Eulipotyphla; Talpidae
Exons: 3
Source: RefSeq, a predicted model, not a curated record